Molecule: transfer RNA, 75 nt
Filed under: Clostridium sp.
Lineage: Bacteria; Bacillati; Bacillota; Clostridia; Eubacteriales; Clostridiaceae
Also listed under: 23 other names
Description: tRNA-Glu
Rfam family: tRNA
About the family: Transfer RNA (tRNA) molecules are approximately 80 nucleotides in length. Their secondary structure includes four short double-helical elements and three loops (D, anti-codon, and T loops). Further hydrogen bonds mediate the characteristic L-shaped molecular structure. tRNAs have two regions of fundamental functional importance: the anti-codon, which is responsible for specific mRNA codon recognition, and the 3' end, to which the tRNAs corresponding amino acid is attached (by aminoacyl-tRNA synthetases). tRNAs cope with the degeneracy of the genetic code in two manners: having more than one tRNA (with a specific anti-codon) for a particular amino acid; and 'wobble' base-pairing, i.e. permitting non-standard base-pairing at the 3rd anti-codon position.
Source: RNAcentral
GGCCCGGUGGUCAAGCGGCUAAGACACCGCCCUUUCACGGCGGUAACACGAGUUCGAUUCUCGUCCGGGUCACCA